CUUCUAAUGUAUUUGUAUAUUUACAGCAUGAAGAUCAUACACUACAUAUUCUACAUCACAUUAUGCCAUGAGUGUAUUACUGGACAUUUUUUUCAAAGAUUAGAUGGGAACAAAACAUUCCUUCAUGUAUCAUUCACAGAAGCGGUGGCUGUUCCACAAAUAUUUGUUGAGUGCCUGCAAUGCUCCAGGUGUGUGUGGCUGUUCAAGGCUCCUCUGAGUUGGCAGCUGCCAGUGGAACAAAUGGGAAAAUCAGUGCUUGCAGUGUAAGAGGGAUUUCUGUACUUUUCAGAGGCCCCUCCUGAUUUCCAGGUUCACAGCUGGGCCAGGUAACUGAGUUUGCCUCCUAGAAGGAGGAGCACUUCUGUAUUUCAGAUGGCGAUAUGGGUCUGGGUGCUGGACAGAAGCUAAAUAUUUCCACAAAUCAUAGGCUUCUGGUGGGGUCACAGCUUGUGGCCACAGCAUGAUCAGAGAAUGGGAAAAUGGCUGUCCAAGGAUUGGAAUACAGAGGGCUAAAGAAAG
RNAcentral lists this long non-coding RNA (519 nucleotides) under Heterocephalus glaber (naked mole-rat). RNAcentral describes it as "lncRNA (ENSHGLG00000036261.1)". Lineage: Eukaryota; Metazoa; Chordata; Mammalia; Rodentia; Bathyergidae. The record is from RNAcentral.